AGGACACUCUGUACGGAGUUACAAAGGAACGAGGUAGAUGAAGAGGUCUGGAAAGGCCCGCCAUAGGAGGUAACAGCCCUGUAGUCAAAACUUCGUUCUCUCCUGAGUGGAUCCUGAGUACGGCGGAACACGUGAAAUUCCGUCGGAAUCCGGGAGGACCAUCUCCCAAGGCUAAAUACUCCCUAGUGACCGAUAGUGAACCAGUACCGUGAGGGAAAGGUGAAAAGCACCCCGGAAGGGGAGUGAAAGAGAUCCUGAAACCGUGUGCCUACAAGUAGUCAGAGCCCGUUAACGGGUGAUGGCGUGCCUUUUGUAGAAUGAACCGGCGAGUUACGAUCCCGUGCAAGGUUAAGCAGAAGAUGCGGAGCCGCAGCGAAAGCGAGUCUGAAUAGGGCGAAUUGAGUACGUGGUCGUAGACCCGAAACCAGGUGAUCUACCCAUGUCCAGGGUGAAGUUCAGGUAACACUGAAUGGAGGCCCGAACCCACGCACGUUGAAAAGUGCGGGGAUGAGGUGUGGGUAGGGGUGAAAUGCCAAUCGAACCUGGAGAUAGCUGGUUCUCUCCGAAAUAGCUUUAGGGCUAGCCUCAAGGUAAGAGUCUCGGAGGUAGAGCACUGAUUGGACUAGGGGCCCCUACCGGGUUACCGAAUUCAGUCAAACUCCGAAUGCCGAUGACUUAUCCUUGGGAGUCAGACUGCGAGUGAUAAGAUCCGUAGUCGAAAGGGAAACAGCCCAGACCGCCAGCUAAGGUCCCAAAGUAUACGUUAAGUGGAAAAGGAUGUGGAGUUGCUUAGACAACCAGGAUGUUGGCUUAGAAG
RNAcentral lists this ribosomal RNA (817 nucleotides) under Bacillus velezensis. RNAcentral's name for it is "bacterial LSU rRNA". It matches the Rfam family "Bacterial large subunit ribosomal RNA", at positions 296 to 1112 of the family's 2925-position model. Lineage: Bacteria; Bacillati; Bacillota; Bacilli; Caryophanales; Bacillaceae. The record is from RNAcentral.